ACGAGUUAGGGUCUCCUAGGCCCGACCUCCCUACCCUUUGUUUACUGAACCUUUGUUGCUUCGGCGGACCCGUCUUAACCGACCGCCGGAGGACUGUCGAGAGACCUCCUCUGGCCAGUGUCCGCCGAUAGCCAACCUAAAUCUAAACUCUGGAUAAAUCGUGUUUGAUGUCUAAGUCUUAUGAUUAAAUUAAAGCA
Molecule: unclassified non-coding RNA, 197 nt
Filed under: uncultured Herpotrichiellaceae
Lineage: Eukaryota; Fungi; Ascomycota; Eurotiomycetes; Chaetothyriales; Herpotrichiellaceae
Description: sequence contains ITS1
Source: RNAcentral